CCCUACGGGAGGCAGCAGUGGGGAAUAUUGGACAAUGGGCCCAAGCCUGAUCCAGCCAUGCCGCGUGAGUGAUGAAGGUCUUAGGGUUGUAAAGCUCUUUCCCCGCUGAAGAUAAUGACGGUAUUCGGAGAAGAAGCCCCGCCUAAUUUCGUGCCAGCAGCCGCGGUAAUUCGAAGGGGGCUAGCGUUGUUCGGAAUUACUGGGCUGUAGGGCGCACUUAGAAGGAUCCCAAAGUCAAGUGUGAAAUCUCUGGGCUAAAAACUGGGACUUACUUUGAUAAUUGGUAUGUGGAGUAUAGAAGAGAUAAGUGAAACUAAAACUGUAGAGGUGAAUUUCGUUGAUUG
RNAcentral lists this ribosomal RNA (344 nucleotides) under uncultured Agrobacterium sp. RNAcentral describes it as "bacterial SSU rRNA". It matches the Rfam family "Bacterial small subunit ribosomal RNA", at positions 337 to 697 of the family's 1533-position model. Lineage: Bacteria; Pseudomonadati; Pseudomonadota; Alphaproteobacteria; Hyphomicrobiales; Rhizobiaceae. The record is from RNAcentral.